Molecule: ribosomal RNA, 468 nt
Filed under: uncultured bacterium
Lineage: Bacteria
Description: partial 16S ribosomal RNA
Rfam family: Bacterial small subunit ribosomal RNA
Source: RNAcentral
GACGAACGCUGGCGGCGUGCUUAACACAUGCAAGUCGAACGGAAAGGCCCUGCUUUUGUGGGGUGCUCGAGUGGCGAACGGGUGAGUAACACGUGAGUAACCUGCCCUUGACUUUGGGAUAACUUCAGGAAACUGGGGCUAAUACCGGAUAGGAGCUCCUGCUGCAUGGUGGGGGUUGGAAAGUUUCGGCGGUUGGGGAUGGACUCGCGGCUUAUCAGCUUGUUGGUGGGGUAGUGGCUUACCAAGGCUUUGACGGGUAGCCGGCCUGAGAGGGUGACCGGCCACAUUGGGACUGAGAUACGGCCCAGACUCCUACGGGAGGCAGCAGUGGGGAAUAUUGCACAGUGGGCGGAAGCCUGAUGCAGCAACGCCGCGUGCGGGAUGACGGCCUUCGGGUUGUAAACCGCUUUCGCCUGUGACGAAGCGUGAGUGACGGUAAUGGGUAAAGAAGCACCGGCUAACUAUGUG